CAGACAACGUAAGCGCUAUGUAUGUUUUGGUAUACAAUAGAGCCUAUGGAAGUGCAUUCUCUGUCUAUAGUUACUCUGUGAUGGGCUAUACACGAGAUGCGCUCACGGAAUUUCGAACAAAAAAUUUAGUUCCAAAAUGGCCACCAGAGGGCGCCUUUUCGGGAAAAACAUGGAAUUUAGCACAAUAAACGACCAAAACGGAAUACAGAAACAAUCCAGAACAAGAAUUAUGAGUAAUAAAAUGCAAAACCGGGAAAAGCUGUCAGUUGUAGGAGAAAAAUGUCAAGAUUUGCAUGCUUGGGCAGAAGAGGAAGCUUUCUGCAAAACAGGUUAGGGGGUAAAACGUUUGCAGACGUUGUCAUGUUUAAGUCGAUGUUUCUGGCUGUACUAAUGACGGUCCCUUUAGUUGAACAUGCGUUACUGGUGAAGCUGUUUUACAAAAACAAGGGGAAUGUUUCUGCUGCAGUUUGUAAAUUUUGUCGUAGAAAGAACCUACGGCAUUGACCAAUGUCUACUAAAAGUAUCCGGGCCAUGAUUAAAUUGAAGAGACGGGGAAAUUAGGAGUUCAACCUGGAAGAGGCUGUAAACGUGUCACACUGGUACUUGUUGAUGCCGC
RNAcentral lists this long non-coding RNA (616 nucleotides) under Androctonus crassicauda. Lineage: Eukaryota; Metazoa; Arthropoda; Arachnida; Scorpiones; Buthidae. The record is from RNAcentral.